RNAcentral lists this small nucleolar RNA (156 nucleotides) under Stomoxys calcitrans (stable fly). The record is from RNAcentral. Lineage: Eukaryota; Metazoa; Arthropoda; Insecta; Diptera; Muscidae.
GUUGUAUGCGUCCAUAACUAAAACCAUUUAGUUUUUCCUAGUGAAUUCUUUGGUAUUCAAUUGGACAAAAUUAAAACCCAUGAUUGACUAUUCCUCUUAAGGAUAUCGGUUCAAAGAUAUAAACCUUAAUAAAGUGAAAAUCAACAAAGUGAACAA